This is a non-coding RNA of Haliaeetus albicilla (white-tailed eagle), 46 nucleotides long. Lineage: Eukaryota; Metazoa; Chordata; Aves; Accipitriformes; Accipitridae. The record is from Rfam.
AUAAAGGUUUUCUUGAAAACCAUACAUUUUACCUGUUUGUAAGUUG